Molecule: ribosomal RNA, 945 nt
Filed under: Chaetothyriales sp. CR07/2-4
Lineage: Eukaryota; Fungi; Ascomycota; Eurotiomycetes; Chaetothyriales
Description: eukaryotic LSU rRNA
Rfam family: Eukaryotic large subunit ribosomal RNA
Source: RNAcentral
GUUGACCUCGGAUCAGGUAGGAAUACCCGCUGAACUUAAGCAUAUCAAUAAGCGGAGGAAAAGAAACCAACAGGGAUUGCCUCAGUAACGGCGAGUGAAGCGGCAACAGCUCAAAUUUGAAAUCUGGCCUCACGGUCCGAGUUGUAAUUUGUAGAGGAUGUUUUGGGCACCGCCUCGGGUUAAAUUUCUUGGAACAGAAUGUCAAAGAGGGUGAGAGUCCCGUCUUGGCCCGCGGUAGGACCUAUGUAAAACUCCUUCGACGAGUCGACUUGUUUGGGAAUGCAGGUCAAAAUGGGUGGUAAAUUUCAUCUAAAGCUAAAUAUUGGCCAGAGACCGAUAGCGCACAAGUAGAGUGAUCGAAAGAUGAAAAGCACUUUGAAAAGAGAGUUAAACAGUAUGUGAAAUUGUUGAAAGGGAAGCGCUGGCAACCAGACUCGAGCGCGGUGUUCCCCCUGGCUUCUGCCUGGGUUACUUCACCGUGACCGGGCCAUCAUCAGUUUUGGGGGCCGGUCAAAGGUCCGGGGAAUGUAUCCUCUCCUUCGGGGGAGGACUUAUAGCCCCGGGCGUCAUGCGGCCUCCCGGGACUGAGGAACGCGCUUCGGCGAGGAUGAUGGCGUAAUGGUUGUCAGCGACCCGUCUUGAAACACGGACCAAGGAGUCUAACAUCUAUGCAAGUGUUCGGGUGUCAAACCCUUGCGCGGAAUGAAAGUGAACGGAGGUAGGAAGGCCUGAGCCUGCACUAUCGACCGAUCCUGAUGUCUUCGGAUGGAUUUGAGUAAGAGCAUAGCUGUUGGGACCCGAAAGAUGGUGAACUAUGCGUGAAUAGGGUGAAGCCAGAGGAAACUCUGGUGGAGGCUCGCAGCGGUUCUGACGUGCAAAUCGAUCGUCAAAUUUGCGUAUAGGGGCGAAAGACUAAUCGAACCAUUUGGUAGCUGGUUCCUGCCG